GAUUGCGAUCAUACCAGCACUAAUGCACCGGAUCCCAUCAGAACUCCGCAGUUAAGCGUGCUUGGGCGAGAGUAGUACUAGGAUGGGUGACCCCCUGGGAAGUCCUCGUGUUGCAACCCC
RNAcentral lists this ribosomal RNA (120 nucleotides) under Helianthus annuus (common sunflower). Lineage: Eukaryota; Viridiplantae; Streptophyta; Magnoliopsida; Asterales; Asteraceae. RNAcentral also lists the same sequence under 1 other name. The record is from RNAcentral.